UCGGUAGCUCAGUAGGUAGAGCAGAGGACUGAAAAUCCUCGUGUCGGCGGUUCAAUUCCGCCCUGAG
This 67-nucleotide transfer RNA is filed under the name human gut metagenome. It matches the Rfam family "tRNA". Rfam says of the family: Transfer RNA (tRNA) molecules are approximately 80 nucleotides in length. Their secondary structure includes four short double-helical elements and three loops (D, anti-codon, and T loops). The record is from RNAcentral.